CUUGCUAUGGGAAUGACAAGACGAAAAUAGAUGUCCCCUAGAUUUUUCCUGAAGAUUGUCUGAUAUCAGUGUGUCUGGCGUCCUUCACCCCCACCCUCCCAAAGGGGAGGCUCCAGCAAUUAUGAGGGAAGAAAUCUGUGACAGGUACUGAACACAACCAUAAAUGGACUGCAUUUGAAAAUAAAAACUGAAAACGGCUGCAAGGAUGUUUAAGAGGACAUGCAGAGGAUGUCAACUAAAAAAACAAUGUUGGUAUUGUUCAUUCCACAAAUCUUGUUGUUUUGAAAGUAUCCAGAUGGAAUUUAGCUCACUGAGCCAUAGGACAUCAACUGCAUCAAAUUCAUUUGGAAAACCAACCAGUGCCACACAAUGCUAGCAUACAGCAGAGAAACAAAACAAGCAGACAGACAAGUAAAUAAAUAAUCAGUCAUGAUUGUAUUAUCUGUAAGCACUUGGGAAAGGAAUUAUUAAACUUCACAUUUCUGCCUUUCUUA
Micropterus salmoides (largemouth bass) is the source of this 494-nucleotide long non-coding RNA. RefSeq lists it as uncharacterized. Lineage: Eukaryota; Metazoa; Chordata; Actinopteri; Centrarchiformes; Centrarchidae. The transcript is spliced from 3 exons. The record is from RefSeq and is a predicted model, not a curated record.